AUUAAAAAGUACCAGUAAAAGGAACCAUUAACUUUUUAUAACUCGUGCCUGUUUAAUACUGAGAGUCGUACCCAUCACGACCUCCAUUUAAUAUAGAGACACAAAAUGUUCUCAUGUCAAGUGUGUCUGUUCUGCUGCUCUGCAACAUGACUCCAUGGAAGAAGAAGCUCUCCCUUUGUCGGCAGCUAGUUCUCUGCUCCCUGAGAGGAGGAGUCAAUGCAAAACUCAGAUGUCUUCUACCUACAAGAGGAGGAAAGAGAGCAGUGGACACACACAGUUAAACAUGAGGCGCUGCAGGACAGGACUGCUGCUUUUAACUCUCUGCUGGGCAGGCGUUUCCAGUCAGACUCUGAGUGAGUCAGAAUCCCAUAAACUGACCUGUACCUAUGCAGGAAUAUCAGAUGAUGAUGCUGCUAUCAGCUGGAUCAGACAAGCUGAAGGAAAAGGACUGGAGUGGAUUGCUUUCAUUUCUUCUCCGAGUGGAAGCAGUAAAUAUUAUUCCACGUCUGUCUUGAAUCGUUUCACCAUUUCCAGAGACAACGCCGUGGACCAGGUGUCUCUGCAGAUGAACAGUCUGACCACUGAAGACUCUGCUGUUUAUUAUUGUGCUCGGAGGCCACAGUGAUACAGGAAGCCACAGAACUGUACAAAAACUCCCCCCACUGUAUCAGUCACUGAUACAAAGUAUUGUGAAUCGCCAUUAAGUAUUUUUAAAAUCCCCCUAUAGUGUUAAUUGUUGGAACCAGGGGGAGAAAAUGGAAGGUUGGACUAAAUAAUCUAGAAGUUUAUUCAAAGUUAAUUGUCAUCAUAGGCAGCAACUAUACUAUCUCACUGAAAAUAAAUAGCUGUUUUAAAGAUAUUUGCAAGUAAAGAAGGUCGGCACCAUUUAAUUUGACGUCCAAAACGCAUCUCCGUUAACACUGAACCCUCAUGUCACCUUUGUUCUCGAUUACAAACAAAAACCCUGCUGAA
Gasterosteus aculeatus aculeatus (three-spined stickleback) is the source of this 972-nucleotide non-coding RNA. The record is from the annotation of a RefSeq genome assembly. NCBI's taxonomy places the organism in Eukaryota, Metazoa, Chordata, Actinopteri, Perciformes, Gasterosteidae.